UGCAAGUCGGACGGGAUUUAAGCUAAAGCUUGCUUUAGCUUAAUGAGAGUGGCGCACGGGUGCGUAACGCGUGAGCAACCUACCUCUAUCAGGGGGAUAGCCUCUCGAAAGAGAGAUUAACACCGCAUAACAUCAACAGUUCGCAUGUUCAGUUGAUUAAAUAUUUAUAGGAUAGAGAUGGGCUCGCGUGACAUUAGCUAGUUGGUAGGGUAACGGCUUACCAAGGCGACGAUGUCUAGGGGCUCUGAGAGGAGAAUCCCCCACACUGGUACUGAGACACGGACCAGACUCCUACGGGAGGCAGCAGUAAGGAAUAUUGGUCAAUGGGCGGAAGCCUGAACCAGCCAUGCCGCGUGCAGGAUGACUGCCCUAUGGGUUGUAAACUGCUUUUGUCCAGGAAUAACCGCAGGUACGUGUACCUGUCUGAAUGUACUGGAAGAAUAAGGAUCGGCUAACUCCGUGCCAGCAGCCGCGGUAAUACGGAGGAUCCGAGCGUUAUCCGGAUUUAUUGGGUUUAAAGGGUGCGUAGGCGGCCUGUUAAGUCAGGGGUGAAAUACGGUGGCUCAACCAUCGCAGUGCCUUUGAUACUGAUGGGCUUGAAUCCAUUUGAAGUGGGCGGAAUAAGACAAGUAGCGGUGAAAUGCAUAGAUAUGUCUUAGAACUCCGAUUGCGAAGGCAGCUCACUAAGCUGGUAUUGACGCUGAUGCACGAAAGCGUGGGGAUCGAACAGGAUUAGAUACCCUGGUAGUCCACGCCCUAAACGAUGAUAACUCGAUGUUGGCGAUAGACAGCCAGCGUCUUAGCGAAAGCGUUAAG
Molecule: ribosomal RNA, 816 nt
Filed under: Sphingobacterium multivorum
Lineage: Bacteria; Pseudomonadati; Bacteroidota; Sphingobacteriia; Sphingobacteriales; Sphingobacteriaceae
Description: bacterial SSU rRNA
Rfam family: Bacterial small subunit ribosomal RNA
Source: RNAcentral